CCUACGGGUGGCUGCAGUGGGGAAUAUUGGACAAUGGGGGGAACCCUGAUCCAGCCAUGCCGCGUGUGUGAAGAAGGCCCUCGGGUUGUAAAGCACUUUCAGUGAGGAAGAACGCCUGGUGGUUAAUACCCAUCAGGAAAGACAUCACUCACAGAAGAAGCACCGGAUAACUCCGUGCCAGCAGCCGCGGUAAUACGGAGGGUGCGAGCGUUAAUCGGAAUUACUGGGCGUAAAGCGCGCGUAGGUGGCUUGAUAAGCCGGUUGUGAAAGCUCCGGGCUCAACCUGGGAACGGCAUCCGGAACUGUCAAGCUAGAGUGCAGGAGAGGAAGGUAGAAUUCCCGGUGUAGCGGUGAAAUGCGUAGAGAUCGGGAGGAAUACCAGUGGCGAAGGCGGCCUUCUGGACUGACACUGACACUGAGGUUCGAAAGCGUGGGUAGCAAACAGGAUUAGAUACCCUUGUAGUC
Molecule: ribosomal RNA, 465 nt
Filed under: Vreelandella stevensii
Lineage: Bacteria; Pseudomonadati; Pseudomonadota; Gammaproteobacteria; Oceanospirillales; Halomonadaceae
Description: partial 16S ribosomal RNA
Rfam family: Bacterial small subunit ribosomal RNA
Source: RNAcentral